AACGAACGCUGGCGGCAGGCUUAACACAUGCAAGUCGAGCGCCCCGCCAGGGGAGCGGCAGACGGGUGAGUACCGCGUGGGAACGUACCUUUUGGUUCGGAACAACUCCGGGAAACUGGAGCUAAUACCGGAUAAGCCCUAACGGGGAAAGAUUUAUCGCCGAAAGAUCGGCCCGCGUCUGAUUAGCUAGUUGGUGAGGUAACGGCUCACCAAGGCGACGAUCAGUAGCUGGUCUGGGAGGAUGAUCAGCCACACUGGGACUGAGACACGGCCCAGACUCCUACGGGAGGGAGCAGUGGGGAAUAUUGGAGAAUGGGCGCAAGCCUGAUCCAGCCAUGCCGCGUGAGUGAUGAAGGCCUUAGGGUUGUAAAGCUCUUUUGUCCGGGAAGAUAAUGACUGUACCGGAAGAAUAAGCCCCGGCUAACUUCGUG
Molecule: ribosomal RNA, 431 nt
Filed under: uncultured bacterium
Lineage: Bacteria
Description: partial 16S ribosomal RNA
Rfam family: Bacterial small subunit ribosomal RNA
Source: RNAcentral